AAGUCGUAACAAGGUUUCCGUAGGUGAACCUGCGGAAGGAUCAUCACUGAUUUUCUUUUCAAAGAACUUGUGUGGGUAAUAUUAGUACUUGGGGGUUGUCGUUGCGGGUGCGGGAGGACGCGGGCUUUGGCGGGAGCAAUCCUGCCGGGCGCGCCGAGUUCUGCACACGCGAGGCCCCCCUCGAUAUAAACACCAAAACAACACUAGCAUCAAACAAGAAUUUAUUAAAGAAAACAACUUUCAACAAUGGAUCUCUUGGCUCUU
Molecule: unclassified non-coding RNA, 264 nt
Filed under: fungal sp.
Lineage: Eukaryota; Fungi
Description: partial internal transcribed spacer region
Rfam family: Eukaryotic small subunit ribosomal RNA (bases 1-46)
Source: RNAcentral